This is a long non-coding RNA of Panicum virgatum (switchgrass), 1451 nucleotides long. RefSeq lists it as uncharacterized. NCBI's taxonomy places the organism in Eukaryota, Viridiplantae, Streptophyta, Magnoliopsida, Poales, Poaceae. The transcript has 5 exons. The record is from RefSeq and is a predicted model, not a curated record.
AUCCUACGCCGCUGCACGCGGCAGAAGGGAGGCCCACGCGUGAGACUUGCGUGGCGCCCAUGUCCGCAGACCAAAUCGAUUGUGCCUGAUUCGUCGCCCCACGCCUCAGCGGUCAUUCGCAGCCACAGCGCCGUCGUCGGCCUCCUCAGAGCCGGCCCUUCGAUUCAAUCCCUUGGCCCUCCUCCCCUGUUGGCCGUGAAGAAGGCUCCAUGCCGUCGGCGCGGAGAAAACGGCGGCGGAUUCGUCGCCGGCGGCAAACGCUGCCGCUACGCGUAGCAGGAGGGAGGUCAACAUGGAAGACCUACGCAUCGUCCUUGACUGCGGGCCAUAUUGUCUCCGCCUGAUUCAUCGUACCUGGCCUCGCGGUCGUUCGCCUCCUCCAUCUCGCGGUCAGUCGCCUCAUCCACCUCACAGUCGGUCGCCUCCUCCAUCUCGCAGUCGCAGAGCCGUUGCUGGCCUCCUCCGACCCAAGCCCGUUCCUCUUUGUUGGCUCUGUUCCCGAUCCUUCCUAUGCAACCUUGGGCAGCCGUGUACGAUAUUUAGCAUAACCUCGCUACCUCACCCUCCUGGUCUUCCUUGAAUGGGUCACCGCCAUCAUCAAUUGCUGUUGGCUAAAGGUGACAGGUCCAUAUCACCACUACUCCUACACGGGGGAUAUUUAUCAAUUAAAUACACAAUGAAACGAUCUGCCACAAUGUCUUCUUUGUCUGAAGUUUUAAGGUUACGGAUGAAUGCAAAAGAAUUACUCCCUAUGCCUUCUAUUCUUGACAAAGAUGAAUGCUCCGCUAGAGAGAUUUGUUGUCCGGAUAUCCUUCAAUAUGCAUGAUAUUCCUUCCUGGCCUUUAUUUCUUGAUUGUUAGUAAAAACCUAUUGAUUUCCAGAGAUAUUGAUGUGUACCAUUUUCCCUUUUUGUUUUUAAGAGCCUUGCUCUAUAUCUCCGACCUUUGUAGUAAGCACAUGUUUUUACUUGAGUCUCCACUUUUAAUUAUGUUAGAAUAGAUGCAGAUGGCCUCCCCUUUUGCUAAUAAAUCCUCUUUUGCAAGUACAUCAAUUGUAACUUGGUGAUGCAGGCACCAAAUCAUUUCAUUUCCUGAUGAUGAUAAGUCAAUUAUGGCUUGGUGAUGCAGGCACCAAAUCAUGUAAUUUCCCGAUGAUGAGAAGUUAAAUGCAUGUAUUUUGGGACCUCAUGAGAACAAGGUCUUUGCCAACAAAGCAUCCUUUGAUUGUACAUGUAUCUUCGUCAAGAUGAGAUAACACUACUGUUGUUUCUCUCUCUCUCUCUCUCUCUCUCUCUCUAGCUGAGUGUUGUAAAGUUUAAUUAUAUUUUCUGUUCAAGUCAAUCGUAUUAUAUAGCUGAGUUGUAUACAUGUACUGAUAUAUUCAAUAGAGCAUAUGGUAUAUAACUGACUUUUCUGCAUAUACAUUUUAAUUAUUGAAUAUGUUCUAACGAA